UCUCAUUCUUAAUUAACAAGUUGUGUGUUAUAAGACCCCGAGGGCUUAGGAGAAAGAACGUUACUACAAGGCUCGAAAGGAACACAUUAGGGACCACUUCAUGUUCCCGACUUCUCCUUCCAGUUCCAUCCUUUUUAGCAGUAUUUUCUAGUGCGUGUGAUAAACCCCUCUGCUCUCACCCCCUGCCUUGUUCCGCUCCAUUGCCGAAGCCCCAACCCUAGGGGGAAAAGGGGGGAUAGAAUCCCAAGGAUAGCGACGGCGACGGCAGCGGCGACGACGACCUGCUUCAAGAAGAACCGGAGGUACCCCGGAGGCCGCCGUGGCGCUGGAGGCGUGCCCCACCACCGCAUACUCCAUGACGACCACCAUCCUAG
RNAcentral lists this long non-coding RNA (374 nucleotides) under Elaeis guineensis (African oil palm). RNAcentral describes it as "long non-coding RNA (EGUI_LNC062086)". Lineage: Eukaryota; Viridiplantae; Streptophyta; Magnoliopsida; Arecales; Arecaceae. The record is from RNAcentral.